CCUACGGGUGGCAGCAGUGAGGAAUAUUGGUCAAUGGGCGUAAGCCUGAACCAGCCAAGUCGCGUGAGGGAUGAAGGUUCUAUGGGUCGUAAACCUCUUUUAUAAGGGAAUAAAAUGCUGGACGUGUCGGGUUUUGUAUGUACCUUAUGAAUAAGGAUCGGCUAACUCCGUGCCAGCAGCCGCGGUAAUACGGAGGAUCCGAGCGUUAUCCGGAUUUAUUGGGUUUAAAGGGUGCGUAGGCGGCCUUUUAAGUCAGUGGUGAAAGUCUGUGGCUCAACCAUAGAAUUGCAGUUGAAACUGGGAGGCUUGAGUAUGGUAGAGGUAGGCGGAAUGCGUGGUGUAGCGGUGAAAUGCUUAGAUAUCACGCAGAACCCCGAUUGCGAAGGCAGCUUGCCAAGCUAUGACUGACGCUGAUGCACGAAAGCGUGGGGAUCAAACAGGAUUAGAUACCCGUGUAGUC
RNAcentral lists this ribosomal RNA (460 nucleotides) under uncultured bacterium. Its description in RNAcentral is "partial 16S ribosomal RNA". It matches the Rfam family "Bacterial small subunit ribosomal RNA", at positions 338 to 795 of the family's 1533-position model. The record is from RNAcentral.